RNAcentral lists this small nucleolar RNA (138 nucleotides) under Anabas testudineus (climbing perch). Its description in RNAcentral is "Small nucleolar RNA SNORD10 (ENSATEG00000003123.2)". It matches the Rfam family "Small nucleolar RNA SNORD10". Lineage: Eukaryota; Metazoa; Chordata; Actinopteri; Anabantiformes; Anabantidae. The record is from Rfam by way of RNAcentral.
GUGUAAUGAUGAAAUCCAUGCGUGUCAGCUGACUCUGUAAACCCCUGAUGUAUCUUGCUCUGGUUGGCGUUCUGCUAACUUGAGUCUGCAGACAACAGUGGCCCAGAGGCAUGAUCAUACAUUACUACUUCUGAAUAC